This 1371-nucleotide ribosomal RNA is filed under the name uncultured bacterium. RNAcentral's name for it is "bacterial SSU rRNA". It matches the Rfam family "Bacterial small subunit ribosomal RNA", at positions 28 to 1381 of the family's 1533-position model. The record is from RNAcentral.
GAUAAACGCUGGCGGCGUGCCUAAUACAUGCAAGUCGAGCGAACGGACGAGAAGCUUGCUUCUCUGAUGUUAGCGGCGGACGGGUGAGUAACACGUGGAUAACCUACCUAUAAGACUGGGAUAACUUCGGGAAACCGGAGCUAAUACCGGAUAAUAUUUUGAACCGCAUGGUUCAAAAGUGAAAGACGGUCUUGCUGUCACUUAUAGAUGGAUCCGCGCUGCAUUAGCUAGUUGGUAAGGUAACGGCUUACCAAGGCAACGAUGCAUAGCCGACCUGAGAGGGUGAUCGGCCACACUGGAACUGAGACACGGUCCAGACUCCUACGGGAGGCAGCAGUAGGGAAUCUUCCGCAAUGGGCGAAAGCCUGACGGAGCAACGCCGCGUGAGUGAUGAAGGUCUUCGGAUCGUAAAACUCUGUUAUUAGGGAAGAACAUAUGUGUAAGUAACUGUGCACAUCUUGACGGUACCUAAUCAGAAAGCCACGGCUAACUACGUGCCAGCAGCCGCGGUAAUACGUAGGUGGCAAGCGUUAUCCCGAAUUAUUGGGCGUAAAGCGCGCGUAGCGGUUUUUUAAGUCUGAUGUGAAAGCCCACGGCUCAACCGUGGAGGGUCAUUGGAAACUGGAAAACUUGAGUGCAGAAGAGGAAAGUGGAAUUCCAUGUGUAGCGGUGAAAUGCGCAGAGAUAUGGAGGAACACCAGUGGCGAAGGCGACUUUCUGGUCUGUAACUGACGCUGAUGUGCGAAAGCGUGGGGAUCAAACAGGAUUAGAUACCCUGGUAGUCCACGCCGUAAACGAUGAGUGCUAAGUGUUAGGGGGUUUCCGCCCCUUAGUGCUGCAGCUAACGCAUUAAGCACUCCGCCUGGGGAGUACGACCGCAAGGUUGAAACUCAAAGGAAUUGACGGGGACCCGCACAAGCGGUGGAGCACGUGGUUUAAUUCGAAGCAACGCGAAGAACCUUACCAAAUCUUGACAUCCUUUGACAACUCUAGAGAUAGAGCCUUCCCCUUCGGGGGACAAAGUGACAGGUGGUGCAUGGUUGUCGUCAGCUCGUGUCGUGAGAUGUUGGGUUAAGUCCCGCAACGAGCGCAACCCUUAAGCUUAGUUGCCAUCAUUAAGUUGGGCACUCUAAGUUGACUGCCGGUGACAAACCGGAGGAAGGUGGGGAUGACGUCAAAUCAUCAUGCCCCUUAUGAUUUGGGCUACACACGUGCUACAAUGGACAAUACAAAGGGCAGCGAAACCGCGAGGUCAAGCAAAUCCCAUAAAGUUGUUCUCAGUUCGGAUUGUAGUCUGCAACUCGACUACAUGAAGCUGGAAUCGCUAGUAAUCGUAGAUCAGCAUGCUACGGUGAAUACGUUCCCGGGUCU